RNAcentral lists this ribosomal RNA (564 nucleotides) under uncultured Glomeromycotina. Its description in RNAcentral is "SSU rRNA". It matches the Rfam family "Eukaryotic small subunit ribosomal RNA", at positions 548 to 1114 of the family's 1831-position model. Lineage: Eukaryota; Fungi; Glomeromycota. The record is from RNAcentral.
UUGGAGGGCAAGUCUGGUGCCAGCAGCCGCGGUAAUUCCAGCUCCAAUAGCGUAUAUUAAAGUUGUUGCAGUUAAAAAGCUCGUAGUUGAAUUUCGGGAUCAGAUUGUCGGUCGUGCCUCGGUACGCACUGGCAUUAUUGGUUCCUACCUUCUGAAGAACCGCGAUGUCAUUAAUUUGGUGUCGUGGGGAAUCAGGACUGUUACUUUGAAAAAAUUAGAGUGUUUAAAGCAGGCGCACGUUUGAAUACAUUAGCAUGGAAUAAUGAAAUAGGACGUUUGAUUCUAUUUUGUUGGUUUCUAGGAUCGACGUAAUGAUUAAUAGGGAUAGUUGGGGGCAUUAGUAUUCAAUUGUCAGAGGUGAAAUUCUUGGAUUUAUUGAAGACUAACUACUGCGAAAGCAUUUGCCAAGGAUGUUUUCAUUAAUCAAGAACGAAAGUUAGGGGAUCGAAGACGAUCAGAUACCGUCGUAGUCUUAACCAUAAACUAUGCCGACUAGGGAUCGGAUGAUGUUAAUUUUUUAAUGACUCAUUCGGCGCCUUACGGGAAACCAAAGUGUUUGGGUUC